Molecule: ribosomal RNA, 517 nt
Filed under: Loxosceles aff. rufescens Anti-Atlas
Lineage: Eukaryota; Metazoa; Arthropoda; Arachnida; Araneae; Sicariidae
Description: partial 16S ribosomal RNA
Rfam family: Bacterial large subunit ribosomal RNA
Source: RNAcentral
UUUCCGCUAUAACAGAAAGCGAUUCCUGCCCAAUGCCUCAUAAAUAGCCGCAGUUCAUCUGUGCUAAGGUAGCACAAUAACUUGCCUUUUAAUUUAAGGAUCGUAUGAAAGGACACAUGACUUUCUCAUUUUCUCAUUUAUUUCUCGUAAACUUAGCCUACAAGUAAGAAGACUUGUAUAUCCUAGAAAGACGACAAGACCCUAUAGAACUUCACUACUGUUAAACUGGGGCGGUUAAAAACAAAAUCUUCUAUCCCUAUCCACAUAAAGACCUGAAAUCUUCAACCAAUAGAAAAGUUACCUUAGGGAUAACAGAGUAAUUUCUCUUCAGAUCAUUCCAAAGAGAAGCUUUCUACCUCGAUGUUGAAUUUAAUAUUACUUCCUAAACAAAUAUUACAAAAGUAGGUCUGUUCGACCUUUAAAAUAUUACAUGAUUUGAGUUCAGACCGGUGCAAGCCAGGUCAGAUUCCAUCUUCUCCCACCUUUACUACAGUACGAAAGGACCCAGUAAUAGAUC